GGGAGCGCGCUCGGCGGCCGCCGCCGCGGCAACUGAAACGGAGGGACGCGAGGGCGGAGGGCGCGAGCCACGGGAGGAGGGUGGGGGGGGAAUGGUGGGUAGCGGGGAGCGCGCGCUGACGUCGCCCGGAGUCACGCACAGAGCGCCGGGUUACGCGCCGACGUCUGGCUGCCACGACUUGCCGUCUGCGGCGGCGGCGGCGGCGGCGAGCGGAUCCCGCAGGGGAAGGAGGAGGAGGAGGGAGAGCCAAGGGGGCUGUGAGUGAGCGGGAGAAGCAGGGUGUGAGCCGGACUUGCUAGCGGGAGGGAGAACGAGCGAGAGCCGAGCCAGCCAUCCGAGCCGCCUCCUCCUCCUCCCCUCGGCGUCCCGCCCCCGCCUGCCAGCCCGCCCUUCUCCCUCCUCAGCCGGCUGAGCCCGAGUGAGGCGCAGCUCGGCUCGCGCCGCUGUCCAAGACAGGUGUGCGCGCGCGCGCCCUCCUCCCCUCCCCCUUUCCUCGCGCCUGCCUAGCGCCUGCCUCGCGCGCGCCCUCCCUCCCUCCAGCCCGCGCCCUCCCUCACCUGCGGCAGGACAGCGCCCGCCCGCCCGGUGUAUGACCCAGCCUCUUGAAGAAGCCCCUCAGAACUCUCCAAGUGGCAGCCUGCCGCAGCCAGCACCUCAGAGCAGGCUCUGCUGCUGCUUCCCAGAGGGGGAUCCAGCUUCCAGCACUUCCGUCUCCCUCUGUCUCUCCUACUGCAGAAGCCAACUCGUACAGAGCCUCUGGGAUUGGCCCCUCUGGCUCUCCCACACCAGCCCUCCACUCCACUCCAGACUGGACCAGGAAUAUCUUCUCUCUCCCUCUCCGUUUCUCUUCUCCUACCCCCUCUCUCUCCCUCUCCCCUUCCAAACCCAAACUGGCCACUAGGCAAGUUCUAACGGCUCCAGUGUUCACACUCCAGCCCAUCCCCACCAUGCCCUCCCCUGAAGCUCCUGCUGCCAGGUCACUUGCUGUGCCAGUUGUCUCCUGAAUGUUUGUCUUCUGAAAUUGGAAGCGUCUAGAGGGCAAGGAUUUUUGCCUCCUACAAAGCCUAGGGCAGUGCUAGGCUCCCAAUGGGCACCUAGGAUCACACUGAAUGCUGAUCUCCUGCUAACCUCCUAGCGCUGCCUCAGAACUCUCUGCCUGUGCAAGGUCCAGGGAGUGGCAGGUCCCGGAAUGGCUGGGUCUUGAAUUGUCAGGUCACUGCAGGAGGAGGGAAGAGGCGAUUUCCCAGAAUGGGUGAGAAUAAGAGAGAGGAUUUUAUUUUCAGAGAGAUGGAAGGGAGGUAGGACCAGUCAGGGGUGAAGUCCCUGGGUGUCAGUCAUCAUGCUGGUGGAGAAGCCCACGCGGUAAAUGGAGGACGUGCAUCCCGGGAAACCCCCCAAACCUCAUAGCUGCCUCUUUCCACCGCCCCUCCAUUCCUCCCAAAGGCGGCCUGCAUCCCGGUUCGCAACCCUGGGACAGAUUCUUGCGUGACUUCGGGCGGCGCCCAGUGCUGCUGUGGACAGCUCAUUCCGCCGCGGCGGCGGCGCCCGGCGUGUCCCCGGCGCCGCCAGGGGGCGAAUAGGGUGCCCGCCGGCUCUCAGGACGUCCGGCGCGCUGGCGCUGCGCUCCGGAGAGGCCCGGCCAGGAAAGACGCGCCCGCCAGAACCGCUUUGGCUGCCCCUCGCCGCCGCCGCAGCCCAGCCGGGCCGCUACUUCCAGCCCCGCCCUCGGGCCGGCUCGGUAGCUAUGGGCGCCCCUGGCCGGGGCGAGGGUGCAGACGCCGCGCGCCUGCACAGGUGGCCAGGCCGCCAGCGCGCCUAGCUCCGCGCGCCCAGGGCACUGCCCGGCGGGCUCGCCGCGCUCCCUUACUGCCCCUCCGCCGUCCUCUUGGCAGCCCCGGCUCUACUCUCGAGGCCGCCCCGAUUUGGGGGCCGGCGAUUAAACAGGCCGCACCCCGGGCGCAGCAAAUGGAGGACGCUAGAAUUUAAGGAGGGAGGAUGCAGCUCAGUCCCCCGCCUUCUCCCCACCCCUAGGAAGCGGCCGCGGGCGGCGCGCAGGCGGGUCUCAGAGCCCUGGGGCUCCGGUCGGGCCCGGCGCGGGUGCCGGUGCCGGUGCCGGGGAUAGACCCCGCUCGAGACUGGUCGGGUGCACCCGCGCCGCACCUAUUGGAACGGGCCUUUACCCGGUCGGACCCGAACCCGCCUCUACGGUCACAACAUCCGGGCUGCGGUCACCUCCCGAUGGGGCCACAUUCGGCUUUAGGAAAACAAAACGAAAAAAGGGGUUUACAAUUGGUAUGUCAGCUCCCCUCUGGGUCAGCUCGUGGUGAGGCUGCAGCCCGAGACCCCGACGGCUCAGAACAGAGACCAGCCCCCGGGCUUUGGCACUGCUGAGGAUCUUUCCACUUGAUGAGAUGCUGUUUCGGUAGAAAAAGAGUCCGUUUUUUUUUUUUUUAACCCAAGUCCGCCUUUAUCAAAACAUGUCAGGCCUGACAGAAUUAGAGAUAAAAGUGUGUGCCUGUGUGUGUGUGUUUAAAUCCUCUUUGUGCCCCCCACCCACACUAGCCAGCAUCCAUUCUGGGUAAAUAUUUCUCCCCUUGAAUAAAAGGAAGUCAAGUUUAUGCUUCGUUUCAAAGGGAGUCUUUGAAAUGGUACCUCUUGCUGCUAGUCAAGAAUUCACAUUUUAUUUUGUUUUGAUUUGGUUAGGUUUGGGCGUUUUUGCAACCCUCAAAGCAAGAAUUAAAGGUUAAAUUAUGUCUCAAGCUGCACAUCACCUGUAGUUUCAAAUCCUAACAUUUAGCACAGGCUUUCACAGCAGGAGCGCCAGGGCUGACAUCUGCGUCGGGUUGUUUUCUGGUCCAUCCACGCUGGUCAGAUAGAUGCUCAGAUAGACUCCUGGGGGAGGGGAUCCUAAAUGAGUGCAUUUCUCUGCCCAUCAGGAGUCAGGAAUCCCUAAGACAAGACCGGUUUGUUGGCUAAGAGGAGCCAACACUACAUGGCUUAAUUGCUUUCUGAGAUACGGGGUUGGGCUGCAAACUCCGGACUUUAUGUCUGUUUAGUACCUGGGACCUGGGUCCCAGGAGACUCUCUACCUCCUCCUCAGUUCAUCUGGACAUGAAAGAUGGGCCCAGAAAUCAACCUAUGGUCAGAGAGCCUGGGCUAUUCUGCAGCCCUGAGGGACCCUCACUCCACAGGACACAGCGCUAAGGCUCUGCUCACUGGGCAGGGGAUCCACCCCAAGCCCAGUGCAAGAUCCCACCCCUGCUCCCUCGGUCUGUCAGUUCCCUGUGUGUCUGAGACUUCCUCGCUCUCUGAAGGUAAGGAAUGGCCUGAUGUCUAGAGCCUCACAUGCAGAGUGGCACCUGUGGGAGCCCCUAGCCCCAGCCCCCAACCUCAGGAGGCUUUGUAGAUGGGGUCAGGUGAACAGCCUGUACCACCGCAGCCUCGGGCUCUGGCCCAGACACCUCCCCUGCUGCCACCCUGGGUCUUCUUUGAGCUUUCCUAGAGAUAAGUGCUUACCGGGUGUGGCUCCCACAGAGUUUCCCUGUUCACCCAAAGGCAGCGACCUGCCCAAAGAGCACCCCCAGCUCAGCCCACCCGAAAGCCUCAACUCUCAUGCUCUUCUAGAGUCAGCACGACCAUUCCACCCCCUCUCAGCUCUGCUGGGGAGCCCUCUGUUCCCAGGAGAGCCACCCAGAGGAGAAGGCCAUGUCCUCACUGCCUAACAGGUGGGAAGGGAUAGACAUUAUCACAUCUGCAAAGGCUCUUCUUGGCUCACCUCUAAUCCCAGUGAGUCUCCCAUCCCACACUAUUUAGUGGGCACCUGCUUUGUACCAGGCACUGUGCCAGGGGUCAGGGAUACAAAAAUAAAUGAAGCGGUUCCUGCCCUUACAAAGCUCAUGGUAUCUGACGAAGGAAUUUAUUCUUUAACUCAUUCAUUCACCAGAUGAAUGAGGCUCUGUACCAAGUGCUAGUGAGACAGCGAAGAAGGCAAGCACAGCCCCAGCCAUCCCAGUAGUAGCACCUUGUAGACUCACAGUCCACAGGGGAGACAGACGUCAAUCUAACCAUCUGGCAAACAGAAUUAUCAACCACGGUAAAGAGAAUCACAGGAUGCUUUUGAGCGCAGGUAAAGAGGGGAGGGGGAGGGGGAGCCGGUCUGACAGGCAGCGGCAGUUAGGAGGGGACUGCCCGGAACACAUACCCAUUAGAAACUGGUAUGGUGCUUCUCUUCCUCCUGAAGCAUGACCCUAGAACUUCAAAAAGACCCCUCCCUGUACCCUAUCCCUCACCCCUACACCCAGGAAAUCUGCUAGCUCCUCUCAGGAUGCCAGGCGCCUUUCCCUGCUGCCCGUGGGUGGCAGGAGGCCACAGUGCCCCUUGUGGCCACUGACUGAAGUUCCCAGGCCAGUGGAGGGGUGGGGUUUCAGGCUGUGGGGCCGUGGUGUCCCAGCCUCCCGAGCUCCACCAACUGGCCUCAGUCCUUGCGCAGAUUCUUUCUCGCGUGCUCGCUCUUGCUCGCUCUCGCUCGCUCGCUCUCGCUCGCUCUCGCUCUCUCUCUCUCUCGCUCUUUCUCUCUCUCUCUCUCUCUCUCUCUCUCUCUCUCUCUCGCUCUCUCUCUCGCUCUCCCUCUCUCUCCUCUCUCUCUCCCUCUUUCUCUCCC
This is an RNA transcript of Camelus dromedarius (Arabian camel), 4660 nucleotides long. It is a transcript of the gene named purine rich element binding protein A, with no coding region annotated. Lineage: Eukaryota; Metazoa; Chordata; Mammalia; Artiodactyla; Camelidae. The record is from RefSeq and is a predicted model, not a curated record. The transcript has 2 exons.